GCCAGCAGCCAUAUCACCCUGCAGCUCACAGCUGGCAGCCCACUGAAGGUCAGCAGGUGUGGGCCUGGUCAGUACCUGGAUGGGAGACUCCUGGGAAAGCUAAGGUUGCUGCUGGAA
Molecule: ribosomal RNA, 117 nt
Filed under: Lepisosteus oculatus (spotted gar)
Lineage: Eukaryota; Metazoa; Chordata; Actinopteri; Semionotiformes; Lepisosteidae
Source: RNAcentral